UGCACUCACUACUGUAAGUCGCUUUGGAUAAGGGUGUCUGCUAAAUGACUAAAA
Non-coding RNA from Salmo salar (Atlantic salmon), 54 nucleotides. The record is from Rfam. Lineage: Eukaryota; Metazoa; Chordata; Actinopteri; Salmoniformes; Salmonidae.